Molecule: ribosomal RNA, 119 nt
Filed under: Octodon degus (degu)
Lineage: Eukaryota; Metazoa; Chordata; Mammalia; Rodentia; Octodontidae
Source: RNAcentral
GUCUACGGCCAUAUCACCCUGAACAUGCCCGAUCUCGUCUGAUCUUGGAAGCUAAGCAGGGUCAGGCCUGAUUAGUGCUUGGAUGGGAAAAUAACCCAAAUGCCCAUCAACUGUUGAAU